UGCUUCGCGCAGGAGGCAGCCGUGGCUCGCGUGGAACUGCAGAAGGCGCAGGCGCUGCAGGAGGAGUGCGGCUACCUGCGGCGCCACCACCAGGAGGAGGUGGGCGAGCUGCUCGGCCAGAUCCAGGGCUGCGGCGCCGCGCAGGCGCAGGUACAGGCCGAGGCACGCGACGCCCUCAAGUGCGACGUGACGUCGGCGCUGCGCGACAUCGGCGCGCAGCUUGAAGGCCACGCGGUGCAGAGCACGCUGCAGUCCGAGGAGUGGUUCCGAGUGAGGCUGGACCGACUGUCAGAGGCAGCCAAGGUGAAUACAGACGCCAUGCGCUCAGCGCAGGAGGAGAUAACUGAGUACCGGCGUCAGCUGCAGGCCAGAACUACAGAGCUGGAGGCACUGAAGAGCACCAAGGACUGCCGGAGAGGCAGCGCUCCGAGCUGGAGGACUGUCAUCAGGCCGACAUUGCCUCCUACCAGGAAGCCAUUCAGCAGCUGGACGCUGAGCUGAGGAACACCAAGUGGGAGAUGGCAGCCCAGCUGUGAGACUACCAGGACCUGCUCAAUGUCAUGAUGGCUCUGGAUAUAGAGAUAGCCACUUACAGAAAACUCCUGGAAGGUGAAGAGUGUCGGAUUGGCUUUGGCCCAGUUCCUUUCUCACUUUCAGAAGGAGUCCCCAAAAUUCCCUCCGUGUCCACUCACAUAAAGGUCAAAAGUGAAGAGAAGAUCAAGGUGGUAGAGAAGUCUGAGAAAGAAACUGUGAUUAUGGAGGAACAGACGGAGGAGACCCAAGUGACUGAAGAAGAGGAGAAAGAGGCCAAAGAGGAGGAGGGCAAGGAGGAAGAAGGGGCUGAAGAGGAGGAGGCAGAACGGGGAGAAGAAAUAAAGUCUCCCCCAGCAGAAGAGGCCGCAUCUCCAGCGAAGGAAGAGGCACAGUCACCAGUGGAGGCCAAGUCCCCAGAGAAAGAGGAAGCAAAAUCUCCAGCUGAGGUCAAGUCCCCCGAGAAGUCCAAGUCCCCAGCAAAAGAAGAGGCAAAGUCACCAGUAGAGGCCAAGUCUCCAGAGAAGACCAAAUCCCCAGCAAAGGAAUAAGCAAAAUCUCUAGCUGAGGUUAAGUCCCCUGAAAAGGCUAAGUCCUCAGUGAAGGAGGAAGCAAAGUCCCCUGAGAAGGCCAAGACUCUUGAUGUGAAGUCUCCAGAAGCCAAGACCACAGCAAAGGAGGACGCAAAGUCCCCUGCAGACAAAUCCCCCGAAAAGGCCAAAAGCCCCGUCAAGGAGGAGGUCAAGCACCCAGAGAAGGCAAAGUCUCCCCUGAAGGAGGAUGCCAAGGCCCCUGAGAAGGAGAUCCCAAAGAAGGAAGAGGUGAAGUCCCCAGUGAAGGAGGAGAAGCCCCAGGAGGUGAAAGUCAAAGAGCCCCCAAAGAAGGCAGAAGAAGAGAAAGCUCCCACCACACCAAAAACGGAGAAGGGCAGCAAGAAAGAGGAGGCACCCAAGAAGGAGUCUGCAAAGCCUGAGGUGGAGAAGAAGGAACCUGCUGUUGAAAAGCCCAAAGAAUCCAAAGUUGAAGCCAAAAAGGAAGAGGCUGAAGAUAAGAAAAAGGCAGCCACCCCAGAGAAGGAGGCUCCUGCCAAGGCAGCAGUGAAGGAAGACGCUAAACCCAAGGAGAAGACAGAGGUGGCCAAGAAGGAACCAGAUGAUGCCAAGGCCAAGGAACCCAGCAAACCAGCAGAGAAGGAGGCAGCUGCGGCAGCACCGGAGAAAAAAGACAGCAAGGAGGAGAAGGCCACUGAGGCCAAGAAGCCUGACGAAAAACCUAAGACAGAGGCCAAAGCCAAGGAGGAUGACAAGACCCUCUCAAAGGAGCCCAGCAAACUGAAGGCGGAAAAGGCUGAAAAAUCCCCCAGCACAGACCAAAAAGACAGCAGGCCUCCAGAGAAGGCCACAGAAGACAAAGCCGCCAAGGGGAAGUAAGGCAGGGAGGAAGAUAAAU
Molecule: RNA transcript, 1980 nt
Organism: Sapajus apella (tufted capuchin)
Lineage: Eukaryota; Metazoa; Chordata; Mammalia; Primates; Cebidae
Gene name: neurofilament heavy polypeptide pseudogene
Exons: 1
Source: RefSeq, a predicted model, not a curated record